Molecule: long non-coding RNA, 1333 nt
Organism: Nothoprocta perdicaria
Lineage: Eukaryota; Metazoa; Chordata; Aves; Tinamiformes; Tinamidae
Exons: 2
Source: RefSeq, a predicted model, not a curated record
GGCCCGCGCUCCCCCACCGCCUCUUGGGCGUGUUUUCUGCAGGUCGACGUUGGAGCUCCCUCAGUGGCCGCGUGUCCUGUCACUGGCAGCAAGACUGUUCGGGUCCACAUCUAAUCCGAGCCCCUGCUGCCAGAGGAAGCAAAGCAGCAGGUGCUGCUGGAAUCCAGCUGCAUGCCAGGCCCCAUCGUGCAAGAAGAGAUUUGGGCUCUCCGGAGAGAUGGGCGUUCCAUCAGCAGAUCCCUCCUGGAGCACCUUUCUUCCCUUCGUUCUCCACGGAAAGCGGCAGGUCACGAGUUUCUCCUGCUUAUCUCAACUGUCAGACAAGCAUGAUUACCUCCUCUUCUAAACAAAUUUGACUUGUAAUACUCAGAAGAACCUUACCCUGCUGUAUUUAAAAAAAAAAAAAAAAAAAAAAAAAUCAAAACAGAAGAUGGAGCCAGAGAGCAACGUUUUUGAGCUAAUUGCCCAGGAGAUGGAAGGGAAUUCAUUGGCUGCAGUCCACAGGAUUUAACCAAGACUAUAGAUGAAGAGUUGGAAAAAGUGCACUGGGGCUCUGGUGUAAGGUACCAGGGACAUGGAAAGUGGCUCUAUUGUGGUUAAAUCACAUUGGUUUAAAAUACCACUGCUUCCCCAAGGUUCACCAAACAUGUAAAUUAAGAACAACAACAAAAACUACAGAAAAAGAUAAUGGCUAACAAGCUAAUUUCAUUCUAUUCCAAUUAAAGUCAACUUGUAUUGAGAAGAACAAAUAUAUAUCAUAUAUGUAAACAUAUAUAAAAGUUUCAUUUACUUCUACUAUACCAAAAUGCCCAGUAAAACAAAUGAUGAUAAGCAAAAAUGAACUAAUAUUAACAUGAUACAAAAUAAGCUGCAUUUUGAUUUUCAGUCAGCAUUACUGACAGAUGUAUUAUUCAAGAAAGUUAAGUAAUCCACGUAUACCAUAUCAGUUACCAAACUUUAUAUGGUAAGUUCUAUAUAUUCAGAAUUUAUGUUAACCACAAUAAAGAGAAUAUUUAAAUUAUAUUAUCCUUACAUUCUAUUUCUGUAAUUGCCUGCAAGAAAUACAUGCCAAAGGAGCAUCAUAUCAUUUUUAACCCUGCACAUUUUUUUUGGAACAUAUGAAAAGAACUGAAUAAGCCUGCUUUCCACAGCAUUCAAAGUCAGUUAAAAGACUGCUAUCUUUCCAUUCUGUAAGUAUUUCUGUGCAAUUUGACCUGAAUUAAUUAAUUUCUAGUAAAUGAAGAGGAAUCCAUAUACUUUGAUAUAUUUUAGAGUUUUUUUUCUUCCAAUUAUAUGAGAAAAUACUAAAUCACUGUAACUUGGCAUCUGUAGG